AUAAUAAAAAGGCAAACCAUUCUAAAGAAUGGGACGCAAAGUUAUGGAUCUAAGGUGUAAGCUAUGAUUGCCAGACUGCCGGA
Molecule: non-coding RNA, 83 nt
Filed under: Clostridiaceae bacterium
Lineage: Bacteria; Bacillati; Bacillota; Clostridia; Eubacteriales; Clostridiaceae
Description: c-di-GMP sequence
Rfam family: c-di-GMP-I riboswitch aptamer
About the family: GEMM was predicted in a large-scale screen for bacterial structured RNA regulatory elements. Genes associated with GEMM are involved in a diverse array of functions, including chemotaxis regulation, signal transduction, secretion and chitin.
Source: RNAcentral